CACUUCCACCCCUCAGUAGAUGGUUUGGGAUCUUUACUGUUGGAAGGAAUAACCAUGCUGUGGAGGUCAUUGAUUCACUGAAAUACUGAAGAUGAAAACUUGUAUUCUUUAGGCUCCUGUCCAUCCGGAAACGGGGGCCCGAGAGUUCUGGAGGGAAACAAUACCAAUCUAGCUGCCUGCACAAGGAUGUGAUGAGAAUGGAUGAAAUAAUGUUCCUACAUUACUUUAAGAUGGGUACUCUCCUACUGAUUCUUAUGUCAUCAUUUAAUGCAAAUACAAUGGCUGUCCAUACUCCUGGCAUCAGUCAAACACUACAGUGGAGAAGAUAUAACCUGAAAUAACUCCAUUCUGCAAUCAAGACUUUUAUCUGUGACAUGGCACUGCAAGGUGGUUCUACAAUGGAAUAAAACUCUAAAAGCAUAAGCUUGGGUUUUCCA
Molecule: long non-coding RNA, 437 nt
Filed under: Monodelphis domestica (gray short-tailed opossum)
Lineage: Eukaryota; Metazoa; Chordata; Mammalia; Didelphimorphia; Didelphidae
Description: lncRNA (ENSMODG00000036111.2)
Source: RNAcentral